CCUACGGGAGACAGCAGUGGGGAAUAUUGGGCAAUGGGCGCAAGCCUGACCCAGCAACGCCGCGUGAAGGAAGAAGGCUUUCGGGUUGUAAACUUCUUUUGUCAGGGACGAAGCAAGUGACGGUACCUGACGAAUAAGCCACGGCUAACUACGUGCCAGCAGCCGCGGUAAUACGUAGGGGGCAAGUGUUAUCCGGAUUUACUGGGUGUAAAGGGAGUGUAGGCGGGACUGCAAGUCAGAUGUGAAAAGCACGGGCUCAACCUGUGGACUGCAUUUGAAACUGUAGUGCUGGAGUGCUGGAGAGGCAGGCGGAAUUCCUAGUGUAGCGGUGAAAUGCGUAGAUAUUAGGAGGAACACCAGUGGCGAAGGCGGUCUGCUGGACAGCAACUGACGUUGAGGCGCGAAAGCGUGGGGAGCAAACAGGAUUAGAUACCCUUGUAGUC
Molecule: ribosomal RNA, 443 nt
Filed under: uncultured bacterium
Lineage: Bacteria
Description: partial 16S ribosomal RNA
Rfam family: Bacterial small subunit ribosomal RNA
Source: RNAcentral